Molecule: ribosomal RNA, 253 nt
Filed under: uncultured bacterium
Lineage: Bacteria
Description: partial 16S ribosomal RNA
Rfam family: Bacterial small subunit ribosomal RNA
Source: RNAcentral
UACGGAGGGGGCUAGCGUUGUUCGGAAUCACUGGGCGUAAAGCGCACGUAGGCGGCGCGGUAAGUCAGGGGUGAAAGCCUGGAGCUCAACUCCAGAACCGCCUUUGAUACUGGUGUUCUAGAGGGUGGGAGAGGCUGGUGGAACUCCGAGUGUAGAGGUGAAAUGCGUAGAUAUGCGGAAGAACACCGGUGGCGAAGGCGGCCUACUAGCCCAUUCCUGACGCUGAGGUGCGAAAGCGUGGGGAGCAAACAGG